AGUGAACGCUGGCGGUAGGCCUAACACAUGCAAGUCGAACGGCAGCACAGUAAGAGCUUGCUCUUACGGGUGGCGAGUGGCGGACGGGUGAGGAAUACAUCGGAAUCUACUUUUUCGUGGGGGAUAACGUAGGGAAACUUACGCUAAUACCGCAUACGACCUACGGGUGAAAGCAGGGGAGCUUCGGACCUUGCGCGAUUGAAUGAGCCGAUGUCGGAUUAGCUAGUUGGCGGGGUAAAGGCCCAACAAGGCGACGAUCCGUAGCUGGUCUGAGAGGAUGAUCAGCCACACUGGAACUGAGACACGGUCCAGACUCCUACGGGAGGCAGCAGUGGGGAAUAUUGGACAAUGGGCGCAAGCCUGAUCCAGCCAUACCGCGUGGGUGAAGAAGGCCUUCGGGUUGUAAAGCCCUUUUGUUGGGAAAGAAAAGCAGCAGGUUAAUACCCCGCUGUUCUGACGGUACCCAAAGAAUAAGCACCGGCUAACUUCGUG
Molecule: ribosomal RNA, 492 nt
Filed under: uncultured bacterium
Lineage: Bacteria
Description: partial 16S ribosomal RNA
Rfam family: Bacterial small subunit ribosomal RNA
Source: RNAcentral